AGAGUUUGAUCCUGGCUCAGAACGAACGCUGGCGGCAGGCUUAACACAUGCAAGUCGAACGCUCGUAGCAAUACGGGAGUGGCAGACGGGUGAGUAACGCGUGGGAACAUACCCUCCGGUUCGGAAUAGCUCAGGGAAACUUGGAUUAAUACCGGAUACGGCUGAGAGGCGAAAGAUUUAUCGCCGGAGGAUUGGCCCGCGUUCGAUUAGCUUGUUGGUGAGGUAACGGCUCACCAAGGCGAUGAUCGAUAGCUGGUCUGAGAGGAUGAUCAGCCACAUUGGGACUGAGACACGGCCCAAACUCCUACGGGAGGCAGCAGUGGGGAAUAUUGGACAAUGGGCGCAAGCCUGAUCCAGCCAUGCCGCGUGAGUGAUGACGGCCUUAGGGUUGUAAAGCUCUUUCGCUCGGGACGAUAAUGACGGUACCGAGAUAAGAAGCCCCGGCUAACUUCGUGCCAGCAGCCGCGGUAAUACGAAGGGGGCUAGCGUUGUUCGGAAUUACUGGGCGUAAAGCGCGUGUAGGCGGGUCUUUAAGUCAGGGGUGAAAUGCCAAGGCUCAACCUUGGAACUGCCUUUGAUACUGGAGAUCUUGAGUCCGGAAGAGGUGAGUGGAAUUGCGAGUGUAGAGGUGAAAUUCGUAGAUAUUCGCAAGAACACCAGUGGCGAAGGCGGCUCACUGGUCCGGAACUGACGCUGAGACGCGAAAGCGUGGGGAGCAAACAGGAUUAGAUACCCCGGUAGUCC
RNAcentral lists this ribosomal RNA (744 nucleotides) under uncultured bacterium. Its description in RNAcentral is "bacterial SSU rRNA". It matches the Rfam family "Bacterial small subunit ribosomal RNA", at positions 8 to 796 of the family's 1533-position model. The record is from RNAcentral.